UAGUUGAGAGCAAAGAAAUUUCAAGGGUUCCACAAGUCAGCCACGUUGUACCUAGGAGUGUGGUUGCCUCUCUGCAUUUGGACAGAUUCUUCGAACGCCAGCUCAGAAGCCGGGCCGGAGGACAACGCGGCUUCAAGGAGCAGGGGUCUGCGAGUAAGUCCAGGUGAGUAGGAACCGCGGCCAGGAGGACCGGCCCGCGCCGCAGCGCGCACGCGCGGCGCCCGGAACCCACGCUCGUCCCCGCUGCGGGCCCGCGCUCGGAAGAGGGCGGCAGCGCGCAGGGAGCGGGAGGCGCGCGAGGCCGGCAGGCAGAAGCCGUGAGCCUCGCAGCAGCACGGACCCGAGAGUCGCCGCUGCCGCCACCGGCACACUCGAUCUGAUUUGUACUCACUGUAACAAGCACCGCUCCCAAGACCUUCUGGAUCCAGACUCAGGGCUCCAGCUCCCUGGAAAUCCUUAGCACGAAGGAGGCUGCAGUCUUGGAUUCCCUGGUGGAGGACGGACUCCACUGCUCUCUGGUCUUGCCCCCUGAUGAUGAUA
Molecule: long non-coding RNA, 540 nt
Filed under: Mus spicilegus (steppe mouse)
Lineage: Eukaryota; Metazoa; Chordata; Mammalia; Rodentia; Muridae
Description: lncRNA (ENSMSIG00000011862.1)
Source: RNAcentral